GCCCCUGUAGCUCAGUGGAUAGAGCACCGGUUUCCUAAACCGGGGGUCGUAAGUUCGAAUCUUACCAGGGGUA
RNAcentral lists this transfer RNA (73 nucleotides) under bacterium. RNAcentral describes it as "tRNA-Arg". It matches the Rfam family "tRNA". From Rfam's summary of the family: Transfer RNA (tRNA) molecules are approximately 80 nucleotides in length. The record is from RNAcentral. RNAcentral also lists the same sequence under 4 other names.